Molecule: unclassified non-coding RNA, 891 nt
Filed under: Hevea brasiliensis (rubber tree)
Lineage: Eukaryota; Viridiplantae; Streptophyta; Magnoliopsida; Malpighiales; Euphorbiaceae
Source: RNAcentral
ACAUAAGCAUUUUUAAGCUGAAACGAUGAGUCUCAUCAAUACUCUUCCUCACAUUCUCCUUUCUCUUACCCUCUUUUUUUACUACUAUCCAUGCAGCCACUUUUGAUGUUGUGAACCAAUGUACCUAUACAGUUUGGGCUGCAGCCUCACCUGGGGGUGGGCGUCGUCUAGAUUCAGGCCAGACCUGGACAUUUGACGUAGCACCAGGCACCACAAUGGCUCGAAUUUGGGGCCGAACCAAUUGCAACUUUGAUGGCAACGGAUGUGAGACUGGUGAUUGUAACAAGGCUCUAGAAUGCCAAGGCUGGGGUUCACCACCAAAUACCUUGGCCGAGUUUGCACUCAAUCAGGCCAACAACUUGGACUAUCUAGACAUAUCUCUUGUUGAUGGCUUUAACAUCCCAAUUGAUUUCAGCCCCACUACCGGUGACUGUCGUGGAAUCCGAUGUGCAGCUGAUAUUAAUGGACAGUGCCCAGACCAGUUGCGGGCUCCUGGAGGCUGCAAUAAUCCUUGUACUGUAUUUAAAACCAAUCAAUAUUGCUGCACUGAUGGUCCUGGAAGCUGUGGCCCAACCGAUUUCUCCAAGUUCUUCAAGGAUAGGUGCCCAGAUGCUUAUAGUUACCCUCAAGAUGAUCAGACCAGCACAUUUACUUGUCCUAGUGGAACCAAUUACAAGGUUACAUUUUGUCCAUGAAUUCCUACUUUCUUUCAUGGGAGAAGAGAAUAGGAGUUAGUUAAUGAUAUAGAAUAAAAAAGAUUAAGAGCUCCCAUCAUAAACCCAAUAAGUUGACGCAUUUAUAUCCAUGCUAAUUACAAGUUACACAUAUAUUGUUACAUGGAUAUAUUACUGAUGCUAUUAAUAAAUUGUUUUUCCUUGAUUUGAAAAUUAA